GACGAACGCUGGCGGCGUGCUUAACACAUGCAAGUCGAGCGGUAAGGCUCCUUCGGGAGUACACGAGCGGCGAACGGGUGAGUAACACGUGAGUAAUCUGCCCUUCACUUCGGGAUAACCACCGGAAACGGUGGCUAAUACCGAAUACGACCAGUCUUCGCAUGAGGUGCUGGUGGAAAGUCUUUUCGGUGAAGGAUGUGCUCGCGGCCUAUCAGCUUGUUGGUGGGGUAAUGGCCUACCAAGGCUUCGACGGGUAGCCGGCCUGAGAGGGUGACCGGCCACACUGGGACUGAGACACGGCCCAGACUCCUACGGGAGGCAGCAGCGGGGAAUAUUGGACAAUGGGCGAAAGCCUGAUCCAGCAACGCCGCGUGAGGGAUGACGGCCUUCGGGUUGUAAACCUCUUUCAGUACCGACGAAGCGCCCUGUCGGGUGGUGACGGUAGGUACAGAAGAAGGACCGGCCAACUACGUG
Molecule: ribosomal RNA, 474 nt
Filed under: uncultured bacterium
Lineage: Bacteria
Description: partial 16S ribosomal RNA
Rfam family: Bacterial small subunit ribosomal RNA
Source: RNAcentral